RNAcentral lists this non-coding RNA (67 nucleotides) under Legionella lytica. Its description in RNAcentral is "partial 16S ribosomal RNA". It matches the Rfam family "Bacterial small subunit ribosomal RNA", at positions 1467 to 1533 of the family's 1533-position model. Lineage: Bacteria; Pseudomonadati; Pseudomonadota; Gammaproteobacteria; Legionellales; Legionellaceae. The record is from RNAcentral.
GUUCAUGACUGGGGUGAAGUCGUAACAAGGUAGCCGUAGGGGAACCUGCGGCUGGAUCACCUCCUUA